This 497-nucleotide ribosomal RNA is filed under the name uncultured bacterium. Its description in RNAcentral is "partial 16S ribosomal RNA". It matches the Rfam family "Bacterial small subunit ribosomal RNA", at positions 28 to 507 of the family's 1533-position model. The record is from RNAcentral.
GAUGAACGCUGGCGGCGUGCCUAAUACAUGCAAGUCGAGCGAACGGACGAGAAGCUUGCUUUUCUGAUGUUAGCGGCGGACGGGUGAGUAACACGUGGAUAACCUACCUAUAAGACUGGGAUAACUUCGGGAAACCGGAGCUAAUACCGGAUAAUAUUUUGAACCGCAUGGUUCAAAAGUGAAAGACGGCCUUGCUGUCACUUAUAGAUGGAUCCGCGCUGCAUUAGCUAGUUGGUAAGGUAACGGCUUACCAAGGCAACGAUGCAUAGCCGACCUGAGAGGGUGAUCGGCCACACUGGAACUGAGACACGGUCCAGACUCCUACGGGAGGCAGCAGUAGGGAAUCUUCCGCAAUGGGCGAAAGCCUGACGGGGCAACGCCGCGUGAGUGAUGAAGGUCUUCGGAUCGUAAAACUCUGUUAUUAGGGAAGAACAUAUGUGUAAGUAACUGUGCACAUCUUGACGGUACCUAAUCAGAAAGCCACGGCUAACUACGUG